RNAcentral lists this ribosomal RNA (253 nucleotides) under uncultured bacterium. RNAcentral describes it as "partial 16S ribosomal RNA". It matches the Rfam family "Bacterial small subunit ribosomal RNA", at positions 524 to 776 of the family's 1533-position model. The record is from RNAcentral.
UACGUAGGGGGCAAGCGUUGUCCGGAAUUAUUGGGCGUAAAGAGCGUGUAGGCGGUCCGGUAAGUCAGCUGUGAAAGUCAAGGGCUCAACCCUUGAAAGCCGGUUGAUACUGUCGGGCUAGGGUCCGGAAGAGGCGAGUGGAAUUCCCGGUGUAGCGGUGAAAUGCGCAGAUAUCGGGAGGAACACCAAUGGCGAAGGCAGCUCGCUGGGACGGUACUGACGCUGAGACGCGAAAGCGUGGGGAGCGAACAGG